Molecule: long non-coding RNA, 205 nt
Filed under: Elaeis guineensis (African oil palm)
Lineage: Eukaryota; Viridiplantae; Streptophyta; Magnoliopsida; Arecales; Arecaceae
Description: long non-coding RNA (EGUI_LNC045575)
Source: RNAcentral
AAUCAUGGGAUCAACACUAACCACUCUGACUGAUCAUGGCAGAGCUAGUUCUUCGGGCCUAGCCAGUCGGGACUGAUUACUGGCAUCUGCUAAUACAUUGUAUGUGUGUAUGUAUAUGUUUUAAAGCUAGUCUCUUUAUCUUAUCAUGGCGCUAAUCAUGGUCAUGUGAAUCAGAACUAGUUCCUUCAAGGCCUAGCUAGUUCGA